UAUACAUAUAUGUACAUACAUACGUAUAUUUAUACGCUUAACAAUUAAUGCAUUUUGAUUACACCCAUAUGACAAAUGCAGGAUAUUCACGUCUUGCAGCAAUGUUCUGGCAAGGUGCACGCGAAGUUUGACAGAAUAUCCAUUUCAUCCACACAGAAGUUAAAUUAUUUGCUAAAAUUUUAAUCUGAUUUUGAUACACUUCAAAAACAUGAUUGAAAUACAAUCCCGAGAAAUACAUGUCAAGCUGAAAACAGAUGAAGGCAAAAUUGCAAAACCUGUUUGUCCUAACCUUUCGUCGCUUCCUGUUUUGCUCAAAUAUCAACCGAUUGAUGACACCCGCGUCGAGAUAGAGUACCGACAUAUUCAUUUUCCACUGUAGAAAAUUGUUCGUGCAGACUAUCCUGCCGAUGACAAUUGCAACGAUAAUUGUUCCGUACGAAAAGGCUUUUUUAAGAUUCGAAAACCGGUAAAACGGCAACGGAAGAUUCUUCUAACAAGGAAAAGGAGGGGAGCAAAGUGGUCACGGGCGAAUCCAACUCCCAAGAAGCAAGGUGGUCAUUCUAAGAGGCUGUUGGUGAAAGUCACCCGUCCAGGACGAUAUUCAACCAUUUGAAGAAUUCAAGACUACACAUUUGGGGGGCCAGAAGGUCAACCUCAACGUUCCAUAACAGUGACAAUCCAAUCACCCAAACUUUCUAAGUUUCGAUUAGCACGGUUUACGUCCUCAUAUAUUGUUACUGAUUCCAGGAGUGGAGGAUACGAUAAUAGCUAAAUUCAAUAACUUUCUGCAUGUUACUUUUUGGACCUUUUGAUCAUAUACUUGCAUUCAAGAACUUUUUGGACCUCAUCAUACAGAUGAGGGCAGCGUUCAAGGAGGAAUAUUUAAUAACCAUCGCAACCCCAGCGAGUUAUUGGUACUUGAGGCACUUCAAGAUUGACACACAAAAUGGGAAAACUUAAUCAAAUCCUGCAAAAUUUGUACAUGUUCGAACGCUCAAAAAUGCUACUCUUUUAGCUGGUUCGGGUCCGUGCCGGGGAUUUGUUACCUCGCCCUGAAUUGCGUGGCACCCUACAAGGUUCUCAACAGUGGGGCUGGAACCUGCAAUACUCCGUAUGAAGUUUGUUGCAGCGAUGUGUGACGAAUUUUGUGAGGUCAAAGGUCAAAUAUGUACACUUGUAUUUUAGAGAAGAAUAAAUAAAACGGAAUCGUUACC
Folsomia candida is the source of this 1214-nucleotide long non-coding RNA. RefSeq lists it as uncharacterized. The transcript has 6 exons. The record is from RefSeq and is a predicted model, not a curated record. NCBI's taxonomy places the organism in Eukaryota, Metazoa, Arthropoda, Collembola, Entomobryomorpha, Isotomidae.